This 197-nucleotide microRNA precursor is filed under the name Malus domestica (apple). RNAcentral's name for it is "miR10978b stem-loop (mdm-MIR10978b)". Lineage: Eukaryota; Viridiplantae; Streptophyta; Magnoliopsida; Rosales; Rosaceae. The record is from miRBase by way of RNAcentral.
AGAAGUUAAGUCCAGAUGUUAGAGCUCAACAACUUACGGCAAUGGAUUUAUCAAUUACCCAAGUUCGGUCUUCUCAGCAAGCUAUUUCGAAAGAUUAUCAAGUUACAGGGACCUCUUUAGCUUCCGUCUGAGUGCGUUUAGAAGAGUUAGAGCGGGAGCGAGAGUAGUUGGGAAUCGAAGCAUCACGACUUGAAGGU